AUUGAACGCUGGCGGAAUGCUUUACACAUGCAAGUCGAGCGGCAGCGCGGGGCAACCUGGCGGCGAGCGGCGAACGGGUGAGUAAUACAUCGGAACGUACCCAGUUGUGGGGGAUAGCCCGGCGAAAGCCGGAUUAAUACCGCAUACGACCUGAGGGUGAAAGGGGGGGAUCGCAAGACCUCUCGCAGUUGGAGCGGCCGAUGGCGGAUUAGCUAGUUGGUAGGGUAAAGGCCUACCAAGGCGACGAUCCGUAGCUGGUCUGAGAGGACGACCAGCCACACUGGAACUGAGACACGGUCCAGACUCCUACGGGAGGCAGCAGUGGGGAAUUUUGGACAAUGGGGGCAACCCUGAUCCAGCCAUUCCGCGUGAGUGAAGAAGGCCUCGGUU
This 390-nucleotide ribosomal RNA is filed under the name uncultured bacterium. RNAcentral describes it as "bacterial SSU rRNA". It matches the Rfam family "Bacterial small subunit ribosomal RNA", at positions 29 to 424 of the family's 1533-position model. The record is from RNAcentral.